RNAcentral lists this long non-coding RNA (10215 nucleotides) under Phoenix dactylifera (date palm). RNAcentral describes it as "long non-coding RNA (PDAC_LNC001500)". The record is from RNAcentral. Lineage: Eukaryota; Viridiplantae; Streptophyta; Magnoliopsida; Arecales; Arecaceae.
AAUUUAAAUUCCUACAUGUAUUCCCGAAGUGCUUCAAGUUACAAAGCACGAUUACAUUGAUUUUAUUUUUUUACCUUUGCACAUAGAUUAAUAUCGUAAUCAACUUGGGUUGGACCGCUUUAAUACCUGCUGUGGAGAUCACUGUUGCAUCACAUCUCUAUAUGGAAAUCAGUGUUGCAGAGAACAGACAACAUCCACUAGAAAAUCUGCACUAAAUUGUAGAGGAGUUUCUUGUCUGAGCUUCGGUUGGCAAUUUAUGAUCCGAUGUGUUAAUCCAACCUCCAAACGACAUGUUUUAAGCAAAUUAGAAUUUGACAUAAAUAGAUUUGGGUCAUGAACAGAUAAAACCAUUUAGAUCUGUUUAUUAAAUGAGUUAGGUUCAGGUUUGACCUUUGAUCUAUUUAAACUUAUUUAAAAUAUGUUUAACCUAUUUAAAACCUACUUGAUAUGUUUUUGACCCAUUUAACUUGCUUCACUUAACUUGUUCAAUUUGUUUAAAUCCAUUUAAUCCAUUAAAAAUCUGUUUAAUCCGUUAAACCUAACUUAGCCUGUUUAAUAAAUGGGUUAUAUGGGUCGGAUCGAGUUACCUUUUUAAUAAAUAGGUUAAAUUCGGAUAUGAAAUUUUGACCCAUUUAAUAAAUAGGUCGGACUUCGAUUGAUGGAUUUUUGCCUAGACUUAUAUCGGGUCUAAUCUGUAUCUGAUCCAAUCCGAUCUUAUUGCCGCUCCUAGUUGGAGCUGUUUGCACCCAAAUGUUUGCUAGCACAGCGCCUCAGAAUGCAAGGAAGCAAAUGGAUGGUCCUAACUCAAGUUAGGAAGCAAAUGGUUUGAGCUUGCUUGAGUCUAACCUGACUCAUCCUUGGCCCAGAUUAGAGUCAAGUCUCUGGGAUGGUUUUGUGUUGUGGCCGGGCGUGAUAUUUUUAGGCUAGACGCCAUACAAUUUGUUAUGGCCAAGCUGGGCCAGCUACAACUUUGUAGAUUGGUUUCUGAGCCUUGUUUUCAGGCUAACAUUGGCAUAGGAAAGUCUGCAGUGAUCUAGAUUUCCUCUUUUAUUCCUCAAAGUUACAUUGGAAAAUUUCUCCAUUGGCGGUGUGCGUGAUUGGUUUCAUGUCCAGAUGCACAUUAUUCCUAAACUUCCCUAAGAGUUCAAAGUCAAGGUUAUGCUCAACCUUGCUUGACUUGGGGGACCGAUUUGGGUCACUAAAGUUCUCCAUGAAACUAAUUACUCAAGUCUAUCUGUCAUUUUAUCAUUUUAACAAGCCUGAUAAAAGAUAAUCAAUGAUCAGGUGCAAGAUAUUUGUAUACCAUCUUUCUAUGACUCCAUGGCUGAAGGAGAAAUGAUCUGUCUAAGAAACAUUAUUGUUACAAUAAGACGGUGUAGCAUUUCCAAUAUUUAACGCUGAACAAUCUGUCUCAAGACAAUGAAAAUUGAAGAAGUGAUGUUUGAACUUUAGGUGGAUUCUGAGAGUGCAUAAAACUACUCUCUCUCUAGCUUAAUUUACAUAGAUGCUAGUUUAUUUGAAAUACUUCUGCUAGAUCCUUGAGCAUAGCCUAGUGGUACACUCUCUCAUCCCUAAAGUAAGAGGCUAACCAUUCAAAAUUUGUGGUGGUAUCUCUCAAAAAUUUUGGCUGUGCUCGAGGAAGCAAUGGACUAGAACCGUCUAUGUUGGUAGUCUUGGUUUGCAGGGUAGCCCUAAAAUUUGAAUGGUGUUAAUGUUCGAGGAUUUAGAUCCAUUAUCAUUGUGCAAUACUUGGAAAAGGGAUGAUACCAUCGGAGGAAGUGCUUGAUAGUAAAUACUAUUUAGAUUUUAAAAAAUUGUUAAAUCAAAAUUUAGGCUUCACUGAAAUCACCAACCCUAGUGGCUGGUACCAUCUUCUAAUGGGUUACCCAAUACCUAGAGUCUUAAAGAUCAAAAGGAGUACUGCUAAUCUGCUAUCAAGGAGUUUAAAAAAGUGAGUAUAAGAUUCAUUGUUUGGAAUGGGUAUAUGCCGGCCACUUGCAAUCAAUGUUGUUUGCAUAGAAGCAUCUUCCAUUUCUCUUUCCAAGUUAUAGACAACAUCGAAAAGGUUCGAUAUAGGCCAUUGAGCAACUUGAUGUUAGUGAUGAUUGGUGCAAUUUGAUAUCUAGUCUACAACUGCAUCUACGAAUAAUUUUAUAUUGCUUGUCUGUAUAGAGAAAAAAAUUAGGCUACAAAUUGCAUGGACAAUUUUAGAUAUAAGUGUAGGAUGGUUUAAGAUGGAGAGGACAUAUGGAUGUAGAAAAUUUGCUGAGUGCUGAUGUUAUUAGACCAUUUCUACAUCCUAAAAAAUUCCUCCUUACCACCACCAAUACCCCCAAAAAAUAUAAGCAAGUUCUUGUUGUAAGUCACUGAUAGUAUUAUAAAUUCCUAAAAAAAUAUACUUUAAUUGUANNNNNNNNNNNNNNNNNNNNNNNNNNNNNNNNNNNNNNNNNNNNNNNNNNNNNNNNNNNNNNNNNNNNNNNNNNNNNNNNNNNNNNNNNNNNNNNNNNNNNNNNNNNNNNNNNNNNNNNNNNNNNNNNNNNNNNNNNNNNNNNNNNNNNNNNNNNNNNNNNNNNNNNNNNNNNNNNNNNNNNNNNNNNNNNNNNNNNNNNNNNNNNNNNNNNNNNNNNNNNNNNNNNCCCUUGUUUACCAAGGUCCAAGAUGGAGAUUAACUUAAAUUUCAAUUGGCCCAAAUUGACUAGGGCUCUGGUCAAUUUCACUUUCUAGACUAGAUACUGUGAUCCAACAAGAUCGCCCCCUUCUUUGCGAUUUAUAGGAAAAAUAGAAGAAAGCUCUAGUUUACCAAGAUAAAAGAUGGAGAUUAACGUAACCCAAAAUGGCUAGGGCUAGUCAAUUUCAGUUUCUAGACCACAUACUGUGAUCCACCAAGAUCGCCCCCGUCUUUGCCGCAGCCCUGCCCCAGAGGGAAAACCAUGGCCCAAGCGGCGGCAUUGGUGGCCGCGCCUCUAAGGAACUCCCCUCGCCCCUGGCUCUCUUCCCUCCUCUUCUUCACCCGAAAACCCUACCCUCUCUCCUUCUCCUCCUCCACCUCCUCCCUCUCCCGCGGCCCCCGCGGCCUGAGGCCCCUCGGCGCUCCUGUGCCCGAGGACGAUGACACCGAUUCCGACGCCCCCCCGAGCGCCAAGAAGAGCCGGAACGAGCUCAAGAGGGAGGCCCGCCGCGCCGUCCAAUGGGGGAUGGAGCUCUCCACCUUCUCCCCCCCUCAGAUCAAACGCGUCCUCAGGUAUCUUCUCUGGACUUCUUGGUUUCCCGAACGCUGAUCACCAGUGAUAGUUUUCUGGCAGAUUGUUUUAUUCCUGACUGUUGCUGUUGUUCGGAUUGCAGGGUUGCUUCCCUCGACCGCGAGGUCUUCGACGCACUCAUGCUCGUAAAGGUACUGCUUUAUUGCAUUGUUUUCUUUUUCUUUUUCCAUUUGUUUUGGGGUUGGAUUGACGAGGGUUCGUUUUCUGUGUUUAUCGCUUCUUAACCUGGGAAUGAAUUUAUUUUUCGUUGGCAGAGAUUGGGCCCGGACGUCCGAGAAGGGAAAAGGAGACAGUUUAACUACAUUGGUAUGCUUAGUUCACUUGAAUCUCCAUGUAUUUGAUGCAAGGCAUUUGACUGUUAUGGUGUCUUUGAAGUGAUUACCCUGUCAUAAUUUUGCCAAAUUGAUGACAAAUUUAUAAUAUAGGGGCUAUUGGUAUUCUUGUAAAUGUCAAUAAUGGACCUGGAAAUUAUAUCUUCCCACGUACAUCAGCCAAAAUGUUGACGCUUGAGAUUGAUUUUGGAGUCCCCUGAUAAAGGACCAAAGCUCUUUUGAAAGAAUUGUUUAGGAUGUACAUUGCAUGGUUCCAAGCAAAUUGUGUUCCAGCCAACAAUACUCAACCAAGUUGAUGCAUGAAUAAUACAUAAUCUUCACAGCUAUAUAUGAGUGUUAACAUUUUCCUUCAUGCAAAAGCUUUCACACUUCCAAACCCGAUAUGCCCCUAUACAUAAAAUAACUCAAGAAACUAUACCUACAACUUAAAGAAGGAUCCCCACCCUGAUAAUAAAUAACCAAUGCAUCCUGCUGUCCCAAUGCUCCAUCUCAACAAAUGCACUAUCUGCAUUUUAUUGGAAUUUAAUUUUACUUCCAUGCUAGUAUGUUGAGAGUUUCACUCCUUAGUAAACUAGCGUGCCCUAUACCUAUGCGAGAGUCUGGUUAUGUUGAAGGUUAGUGGAGAUCAUGCCUCCAUGGGAACCUAUGGCCCCUUUUCCUCGUGGAACUGAUGUUAUUUCCAGUUCUUUCCAGCUGGGUCCUAAAGAAAAUCAUAGACUAGGCACAUCCUUGGCAGCCUGCCUUGUUCUUUUUUGGAAGUAUGGAUGACUUUUAUUGAUUAAUUUGAAUAAAAUUCACCCCCCCCCCACAAAAAAAAAAAUACUUGCGUCAUUUGAUAGAUGCAUUCUCACUCUUAGCUGCUUCACUUCUUUUAUUUUUUUCCCUUGGAGCAAGAAGUAAACCAAUCUGGGUGUACUUAGCAAUGGAAGUUGCUAAGUGGGGACCAUAUCAAGAUGACAGAUUCUAAAACCCUACAUUCCAAAGAUCCAAAUGGGUAUAUGCAUAGUAAUCUACUUGCCCUGAUGAAUAUAAUAGGAUAUUUUGCCAUCAAUUCUCGCAAAUUCAUCUAUCUGUUGUCAACUAAAUUGAUCAACUAGGCUCCCCUGAGCUGGCAAUUGAUCCAACCAAAACUCAGUAAAAGACUUAUCACCAAUUUGGUAAGGGACAAGAGGGUAGUGGAUCUCAAUUUUGGUAUGCUUCUGCAAGUAACAUAAUGGAAAUCCUAGGUUUAAUAUUCCCAAAUUGCUAGUUAGAGUAUAUGUUACUUUCACUUAGCCUAUCAAAGAGAGGUUAUUCUAGAAAGAAAAUUUCAAAUUAAUUUCAUUUAUGCAGCAUUCUUCCAAUCCACUAGCUUUCUCAGUCCAAGACCACCUUCAAAGAUCUAUUAAUAAAUUUCCAGCUAACAAUAUGGAAGUUAUCCCUUCAGAGAAAUUUCUGCAUCUUCCUCAUAAUGGUUUAAAAUUCUUCUAGGAAUGGUACAGGCAACAGACAUAUAAUCUUGGAAGAAUGAGCUAAUGGAUUCGAGCAAUCUAUAUCUCCCAGCAAAGAGAGUAAUUUAAAUUUCCAUGAAUCCUGUUACUUUUUACCCUGUCUGAGAGAGCCACAAACAGAAUAACUUAGCUUCUGCAUAAGAGGGAGGCUCAACACUUGAGGGAAAUCAACCUUAGAGAUUCAAAAUAAACUACAAAUGCCAGAUUUAUUGGAGGAACAUUGCUGAAAUAUAUCCUGCUUUUCUCUUUGCUCAAUAAAGAGACCAUUAAAGAAAGAUAAUGUAGUGACAAGAUCGUCUAAGUAAGAUAGGAGAUGUCAGCUUUGCAGAAAAUUACCAAAGUAUGCUACAAAAAAUAAGGUGAGUUACAAGGAUAUUAUUACCAAACUUGUAAGCUAAAUUUGGCAUUUGGAAAUGACCAGAGCAGGAUGGACAAGAAAGAUACACUGUGACAGUAAUGAAAAGAUGAGGUGAGAGGAUCAUCUUGCCUUACACUUAGUGAGACCAUAGGGAGCCAUUGAAAGGAAUAGGGAAUGAAGGAGCAUCUGCAUAUUCCUUAAUCCUACUUAUCCAAAUCUCAUUGAAUCCCAGAUUUUUAAAAUCUUGAAUGAAGAACUUCCUAUUUAUGCUGGAAGAUGCCUUCCAAAAAAUCAACUUUAAUGCAACAUUUUUGGCCCCUUUAUUUUUCAGAAAAUCAUCAGUCGUCUGUUGGAAGGAGGAUAUGUGUGACAAAUAACCUUUCCUUGAUAAAAGCAUGCCAAUUCAAAGAUAUUAGAUCUUGCACGAUAACUUGAAGUCUGUCUGCAAGAACUUAGUAAUAAACUUGUACAGAUUAUUGUAGGAAGAAAUAGGUCUUAAAUCUGCAAGAGAACAAGCGAUCAUCAGAAUGAAGGCGACAAAAAUCUGAAUUACCUCAUUAAACAAUUUUUUAGAAGUGAAGAAACAAGAAACAGCAGUGCAGAUAUCAUCUUUAAUCAAAUGCCAGUUUUUUUGAAGGAAACUGUCAGUGAAACAAUCAGGCCCUGGCGAUCGAUAAGGGUUGGAUUUCAUAACAGCUUGCUCUAGUUCAUGGAAGGUACAGGCCAACUCAUCUAUCUUGCCAUAUUACGAGAAAUUAAUCUUGUAAAGAAAAACUUUGAGAUGAAUAAUCGUCACCUUUUGAUCCAAAAGGACUACUAUAGAAUUGCAUUGCAUCUUUUUUAACAUUGAUAUCCUCAGAUCUAGUUCCAGUAACAAGUAAAAUGUUAUCAGAGGACCUUCUCGACUGAAUAGUUUUGUAGAAAACAUUUGAAUUCCUGUCACCCAAUGUGAGCCACUGGAUUCCAUCUGCCAUAAGUCACUCCACCAUAUCAAGAAUUGAUUCUUUAUUCAAAUUUCUUUUCUUCCAUUUAGUGUCUGGGGUUUUCAAUCCAAUCUUUCAGAUCCUGUCAACUGUUCACUUUUCUUUUCUUAGUGCUUGAUUGUGUGGAUCAUUUACUGGAUAGUCUAAUUCAAAGAUCAUACAAUAUGUGCAUGUCUGUGUGUUGACACAGGUUUUUGUUUUUUUUGCUGUUUUAUAAAUUACUUUGUUUUGAUGGAUUUUUUACAAUUUAUGUUAGGAAGACUGUUGCGGAAAGCACAACCUGAUUUGAUGGAUGCUCUAAUUCAGGCUUCUAAAGAUGGUGACAAUAGUAGGCUGCUUGCUUUCUCUGGUCAGGAAACAUGGUCUAUUGAAGAUGAUGAAGAGGAAGAAGAAAUCACAUAUGAGGAGGAGGUAAACAAUACUACAUUUGCCCUGAGUGUAGAUUUUGCCCUCUUCAGUUGCCAUGAUAUCUUGUAACAUAUUAUUAAUUCACAAUCAUUUCGCUGCUGAUGCCAUGCUCAUUAUGGGAAUUUCUUCUAGGAGAGUGAGAACUAUAUAGAAAUAGCAGCUAGAUGGUUUGAUGGCCUUGUUUACAAAGAUCCAUCAAUUACGAAUGAAGUGUACUCAGUUGAAAAUGUUGAAUUUGAUCGUCAGGUAUUAUUGUUUUUCUAAAUUUUGACUUUAAAAUAUAUGACUUAAGCAUGACAGAAAAGUCUAACAUUGACAUCAUGAAGUUUUUCUAUGAUGACCAAUGCCUCAAAAGAAAAAAAAAUAGCAUGCUAUUCGAACCAGAAAUGCAUAUUUCAUAUUAUUUCUUGCUUAACAUUUUUGCUGAGGCAUGAUUUAUGUAAGAUUGAGAUGCAUUUUUGCCACUUCAUGUGAUAUGCGUACUUGUUCAUAUGUCUUUAAGCUGAUUUCACUUGUUUGUAAUUCCAAAGUUUUUGCUGAGGCUUGAUUUUUUAAGUUUUAGAUGCAUAUUCGUUACUUCAUGUGAAAUCACUUGUUUGUGUGCCCAAAUGUAUACUUGUUUGUAAUUGGGAAAAAUUGUUUCAUUUUUUAAAAUUACUCGUUAACAUCUCAUUAGAAUCUAAGAGCUCCUACAAUUGACUUAUUCAUCCUCAGCAAAUACUUGCACAAGAUUACUUAAGCUUUCUUGCAUCUGUAAGCAUGAGCAGUCAUAAGAAUCUAUACAUAAGGAGAAAAAACAAGACUCAUUUCAUCAAGGUUAUAUGUAUUGAUUGUGAAGUUUGAAGAUGGCAAUUUUAGCCUCAUUACAUGCCUUUGUCAUAGUGGCAAUAAUUUUCAAGGCAGCUCUUUGUUUGCUGUCAAAGAGAAAACUUGGAUUCACAAAAGAUUUUCCUAUUAGACGUGAUGAUUUGUUGGUUUUCCUAUGCUCUUGGCUAUUAUUUGGCACCCCAUUUUCGGAUCAGGUUAUAACUUCAAAUUUUUUACUUGCUAUUGGAGGCAUCGUCAGCAUUACCAUGCCAGGAGAAAAAAAAGAAGGAAGGUGGUCCAAUGACUGAACAGCUGAUUUCAGCAAAAAAAAAAGACUGAACAGCUGAAGGGCAAACUAAGCUGUCCUCAGGGUUCUCCAUAAUAAUUAUGCCCCAUUCCUUUAGCCAAUUUAGCUCAUAAUUUAAAUUUAUCCUCCUCUAAUAAAAAUUUAAAGACACAGAACACACACACACAAUCAGAGAGAGAGAGAGAGAUGGAUAGAUAUAUAUAUAUAUAUAUAUAUAGUAGAGAGAGAGAGAGAGAGAGAGAGAGAGAGAGAGAGAGNNNNNNNNNNNNNNNNNNNNAACACACACACACUCAGAGAGAGAGAGAGAGAGAGAGAGAGAGAAGAGAGAUUUCGAUGGAACUUUGACCUAAAACCUGCUGUUUUUAUUUGAGAUUGUCCAAAAACUUCUCUCUCAAAACUGUGACAGAUCAUCUAAAUCGUGAUAAAAUAUAGAGUUGGAAGAAAAAUUGAAAACUGAAGUUAAGAAGUACAAGAAAAGGCUAGAAUCACCUCUAGAGUUGAUUGGAACUAAUACUAAUCAGGAGAACUUCUCCAUGACAAUACCUUGACCUUAAUUCACAUGCCUAAUUCCAUCUAUAUGGAUUUUUUGGAUCAAAGUUUGUCCAUCAAAGUGUAGACUAUUUUAUGAUGGGCUCAAAAUCUAACAUCAGUUCUCUCUUUGUUGCUGUCUAGCUACUGACUUGGGUGAUUUUGGCCAAGAAUGGGGCCCUCUGUAAUAAUUAGAAAGCCAACUGGUGGAAGGAUAUUUUGCUGGUCAUGUGAUUUAAGAUCAUGCUUUCUGAAAAGCAGUCUGCCCUCCAUGGUUUCAUUGAACUUGAAUAGUGUCUGCAUGGAGGAGGAAAAUGUGGGUAGGAAGCUCACAUUUAGGGCAAGUUGCUUUACUGGUUAGAUAGUUAGGCUCAUGUAGCUAAAAGGAAACCUUUCAGUAAAAACCAAAUUCAAUGUUUCACUAUAUCAUUAUUCAAAUUCCAUACUUGUGUUAUUUAUGAUAUGAAUAUUAAUUGCUCUAAAUAAUCCAAACUAUCAAAUCAAAAACCAUUAAACAGGAUUCAAAUGGCUGUAAUUAAAUAGCGGUACCUGGAAUGCACUAUAAUAAUACAAGAGUCAUGUGUUAUAGGGAAAACAUUGAUGUCUUCCUACAACCUCUUUCUAGUUUUAUUGAUCCCUUGCUACUAAUGAUCUUCGUUACCUAGACACUCACGUCUAGAUCUUAGGAUCAUGUUCGAUACAUAUUUAAAUUGCACAUGCAUAAGACAGUCAUAACUUAAUAAAUUUUUUGGUUGCAGUUUUUAGAUAUUGGUAGGAGAGUUGGACAUUUCCAACAAGGAGUUUGAUCUGCUAAGAAAAUGUUAAAAGUGAGCUUUUGUUCUUUAAACAGAUUGGUUAUGAGUUAGUUUCCAAAAUAAUUUUGAAAUUGUUAUGUUCUGAAAAUCUUUAAGCUAAUUGGAAAGAUUGAAAGAGAAACUAUAUAUAUAUAUAUAUAUAUANNNNNNNNNNNNNNNNNNNNAUAUAUAUAUAUAUAUAUAUAUAGCCUGUAUCUUGCCCUAUUUCCCCUACAAAAUAUGCUUUCUUGAAUGUUUGCUUGUCAUCAUGGCUUGUUCAAGCACUCACUUUCAAAUAGUAAGUUAUCCACUUUAUUGAUGAUGUGGUUCGCCUGCAUAUCACUCAUUAUUAUCAUGCCACUAUAUUCUGUUGAGCCACCAACCCCAAAGACUAUCUUUCAUUUGCACAUAAAGGCUUAGAAAUGAACCCCUCAAUAAGUUUAUCUUCAUACUCUUGAUAGAAAAUUAUGUAAAAUAGCGGGCAAGUUAUCAUCAUUGACUCCAACAGUACCAAGAGUAAGUUUCAUUAUGGUAAUAUCAAUCAAAUUACCCGCAAAAGCCUCACAACUAAUAUGAUUGUAUUUUAAUAAAAUAAAUUAGGCUCAACAAUUUUGAAAAAUGGAUCCUGAAUGCAUGGAUUGUUAAAAUUUCAUGAUUUCUUAUCUCUAUGAAUCAAAGAAAUUUGUGCUUCUUUAGCCUCCUUCAAGCAAGGAGAAGAUGAAGUGAUAACAGGUACAAACAAGGAGCAACAAAGUUUGAUGCAAAUCAUAUUAUAUUAAUAUGGAUGACAACACAAAUGUAUAAGAUACACAUGUUUGUGCUCACUGUGGUGGUGGAAAAUGACACUUAAUGAUAUGAGAAUGUACAGACAAGCACGUUAUAGACUAAGAUACAAUAUAUGCACAUUAACUUCGUUUAAGGUAGAUUAUGCAUCAGCAAUUUAUUGAG